This 2426-nucleotide long non-coding RNA is filed under the name Salvia miltiorrhiza (redroot sage). RNAcentral's name for it is "long non-coding RNA (SMIL_LNC007075)". The record is from RNAcentral. Lineage: Eukaryota; Viridiplantae; Streptophyta; Magnoliopsida; Lamiales; Lamiaceae.
UGUGUAUCAGUGUAUAUAUGAUUUUUUUUUUUUUUUUUGAGGUAAAUUGUGUGUGUAUAUAUAUGAUAUGAUGAUAUCUUUACACACACCAGCAUUACAUUAAUCUCGUCUGUGAAUGAAUGCCACCUCAAAAGAUAAAAUUUAUUUUCAUUUCAUCGCCUCUGGUUUUAGAUUUUCUACAAUCGAAACGCACAAUCGAGAGAGAGAGCGAGAGCUGACCAAGUGGUCUGAGUCUUCGUCUUUGCUUUUUCUCACAUCUUUGAUGUAGCACUAGCUGAAUUAUCUCAUACCCUCAGCCCAUUUUGUCUUUCUCUCUCUAUGUGUGUGUAUAGAUUAUAAUCAGUAAAAGCUAGCUAUCGUCCUGUGCACAAUCUCUAUCUUGUUCUGCAUCAGGUUAUAAUAAUUAUAUAUAUGUAUACAUAUAUGUAGGUUUAGACGAACUUUUGUGGAUACAAUUCCCUUCGGGAGGCAAUAGAUUUGAUGCCAAGAACGGAGAUUUAGAGGUUUUCAAGCACGUUAGAGGGUUUGGAAGGAAAACGCAAUUGACUUUUUUCUUACCUUGAUGCGUUUUGUGAUUGGGGGUAUACGUUCAUCACAGACAAAUAUAGGUUCUGACUUCUGAUUGAAGAUUUAGUCAGUAGGUUCACGAUUAGGGCAUUCCUGCUUGCUUAACUUUUGGAUUGCACUAGUUUCAGGAUUUGGGUUUUCAUUGGAGUGCUUCUUUUAUUGCGAGUAUGUGCUUCUUAAUCAGCGGUUUGUGAAAGAUUUGAGUUUUUUUGAGGUUGAUCAUUGUGAUUUGUUNUGCCGGCAUGAAUAGGUUGUACUUGUAUGAACUUGACAUUUCAUCCACAUGAAUCGUAAAAGUACAUGAAUUGUCAACAUUCCGAUAAUAUAUUAAUAAAAACAAACAAAAACAUAAUAAAAACAAAUAAACAAACUAUAUGCGCUCGACGCAUAUACUAAAAUGAUAAAAAAAAAUUGAUAAAUCCGCUAGGCGAAUUAUACUAUUUCCGAUGCAUAAACCUAUAUAAUUACAAUACAAUAAAGCGCUCUCAUCCCAUAUAUGUGCAUAACUCUAUACAAUGACUAUAUGCGUUCAACGCAUGAUGCUUUGUCAAAAUAAAUAAAGUUAAAUACUCCAUCCGUCCCACUGUAAGUGAGAUCUUUUUUUUUGGCACGGAAAUUAAGAAAAGUGUAUUUUGUGUGUAGGUGAAAAAGUGAAAAUGUGUUUAAAGGGAAAAACUUUUACCCAAAAAGGUAAGAGUCUCAUUUACAGUGGGACGCCCAAAAUAGAAAGAGUCUCAGAUACAGUGGGACGGAGGGAGUAGAAUACAAAUAUUAAUCACGAUACAAAUUAUACUAUAAUCACUGUUACAAUUUUUUUACUAUUAUCUGCAACACUCACAUACGUUCUCAUCAUCUAUACCAAACAAAGAUAAAAGUGAAUGGAUGUAGAAUGUGGAAGAUUUAGAAAAUAGAUAUAUUUGAUAGAUAAUUUUUCAAAUUUGUGAAGUUUUGCAUGAUGCUAAAAUAUGUCCUCACGAAGCAGCAUAAAAAUUAUAAUCAGAGUUGGAAAAGUUACUUACAUCUAAACACGAGUAAAACGCAACGCGAUGAGUUGUGUGUAUCAGUGUAUAUAUGAUUUUUUUUUUUUUGUAGGUAAAUUGUGUGUGUAUAUAUAUGAUAUGAUGAUAUCUUUACUACACACCGCAUUACAUUAAUCUCUCUGUGAUGAAUGCCACCUCAAAAGAUAAAAUUUAUUUUCAUUUCAUCGCCUCUGGUUUUAGAUUUUCUACAAUCGAAACGCACAAUCGAGAGAGAGAGCGAGAGCUGACCAAGUGGUCUGAGUCUUCGUCUUUGCUUUUUCUCACAUCUUUGAUGUAGCACUAGCUGAAUUAUCUCAUACCCUCAGCCCAUUUUGUCUUUCUCUCUCUAUGUGUGUGUAUAGAUUAUAAUCAGUAAAAGCUAGCUACUCGUCCUGUGCACAAUCUCUAUCUUAGUUCUGCAUCAGGUUAUAAUAAUUAUAUAUAUGUAUACAUAUAUGUAGGUUUAGACGAACUUUUGUGGAUACAAUUCCCUUCGGGAGGCAAUAGAUUUGAUGCCAAGAACGGAGAUUUAGAGGUUUUCAAGCACGUUAGAGGGUUUGGAAGGAAAACGCAAUUGACUUUUUUCUUACCUUGAUGCGUUUUGUGAUUGGGGGUAUACGUUCAUCACAGACAAAUAUAGGUUCUGACUUCUGAUUGAAGAUUUAGUCAGUAGGUUCACGAUUAGGGCAUUCCUGCUUGCUUAACUUUUGGAUUGCACUAGUUUCAGGAUUUGGGUUUUCAUUGGAGUGCUUCUUUUAUUGCGAGUAUGUGCUUCUUAAUCAGCGGUUUGUGAAAGAUUUGAGUUUUUUUGAGGUUGAUCAUUGUGAUUUGUUAGAAUGC